Molecule: non-coding RNA, 215 nt
Filed under: Gillisella vitis
Lineage: Bacteria; Pseudomonadati; Pseudomonadota; Alphaproteobacteria; Hyphomicrobiales; Rhizobiaceae
Also listed under: 1 other name
Source: RNAcentral
CUAAAGUGGCGUUGUAUCGGUUCUGCAAGUGUCAAAAACGCGCGCAGAUGAAAAGGGAAUACGGUGAGGACGACCCAAGUAAGGGCCGAAACCGUGGCUGCCCCCGCAACUGUGAACGGCGAGCGAUGUCCAUCAUGCCAUUGGCCUCAAGGCCGAUAAGGCGGACAAAGCCCAGACCCGUGAGCCAGGAGACCUGCCGAUACGCAUGCCGCGAA